This 501-nucleotide ribosomal RNA is filed under the name uncultured bacterium. RNAcentral describes it as "partial 16S ribosomal RNA". It matches the Rfam family "Bacterial small subunit ribosomal RNA", at positions 30 to 523 of the family's 1533-position model. The record is from RNAcentral.
AUUGAACGCUGGCGGCAGGCUUAACACAUGCAAGUCGAGCGGGGGAAGGUAGCUUGCUACCGUACCUAGCGGCGGAUGGGUGUGUAAUGCUUAGGUAUCUGCCUAUUAGUGGGGGACAACAUCUCGAACGGGAUGCUAAUACCGCAUCCGUCCUACGGGAGAAAGCAGGGGAUCUUCGGACCUUGCGCUAUUAGAUGAGCCUAAGUCGGAUUAGAUAGUUGGUGGGGUAAAGGCCUACCAAGGCGACGAUCUGUAGCGGUUCUUAGGGGAUGAUGCGCCACACUGGGACUGAGACACGGCCCAGACUCCUACGGGAGGCAGCAGUGGUGAAUAUUGGACAAUGGGGGGAACCCUGAUCCAGCCAUGCAGGGUGUGUGAAGAAGGCCUUAUGGUUGUAAAGCACUUUAAGCGAGGAGGAGGCUACUUUAGUUAAUACCUGGAGAUAGUGGACGUUGCUCGCAGAAUAAGCACCGGCUAACUCUGUGCCAGCAGCCGCCGUAA